AACGCACAUUGCGCCCGGCAGCACUCUGUCGGGCAUGCCUGUUCGAGCGUCAUUUCAACCCUCAGAACCCCUUCGGGGGAUCUGGCGUUGGGGAUCGGCAGUCCGCCGGCCCCGAAAUAUAGUGGCGGUCCCUCUGUGACCUUCCCUGUGUAGUAGUGAUACCUCGCAGCGGGAUAGCAGUCUGACCACGCCGUUAAACACCCCACUUCUCAAGGUUGACCUCGAAUCAGGUAGGAAUACCCGCUGAACUUAA
Molecule: unclassified non-coding RNA, 253 nt
Filed under: uncultured fungus
Lineage: Eukaryota; Fungi
Description: partial contains 5.8S ribosomal RNA, internal transcribed spacer 2, and large subunit ribosomal RNA
Source: RNAcentral